Molecule: non-coding RNA, 25 nt
Filed under: Cricetulus griseus (Chinese hamster)
Lineage: Eukaryota; Metazoa; Chordata; Mammalia; Rodentia; Cricetidae
Source: RNAcentral
UUUGUGAGGCCGUGAAUAUUUUGGA